Triticum aestivum (bread wheat) is the source of this 155-nucleotide non-coding RNA. The record is from Rfam. NCBI's taxonomy places the organism in Eukaryota, Viridiplantae, Streptophyta, Magnoliopsida, Poales, Poaceae.
AUACCUUUCUCGGCCUUUUGGCUAACAUCAAGUGUAGUAUCUGUUUUUAUCAGUUUAAUAUCUGAUAUGUGGGGUACACCAUUACGCUGUGGUGUUCCAUGUGGCGUGAGCUGUGAAACUAUUUCCACAUUGUUUUAAAUGAAGGCCAAACUCAU